GUCUGAACAGAGUAGAUCUGGAUUCUGCUUAGCAAGCUGGCCUGUGAGAAGAGAUACUCUGCAUUUCUGCUCAGAUUCAGAUGGCACAAUAAUGGGGAUCCAUCCUAAAAGAGGACCAGGCUGAUGAGACACAUGUGAUUUCGUCAAGUUCACACAAUUGACACCAAAAUCAAGAAUAUCUGAGAAAAUAAGUGAUUUGUUCAAAAGGCAUGUUCAGAAGAAACAAACAAAUUCUAAAAUCUGCUGAAGGAGAUACACACAAGGAACAGAAAGAAGAAAAAGGAAAAAGAGAGAAAGAAAAAGAAACACAGAGAGAAUGUAAAGAAAAAAAGAAACAAAGAGAGAAUUUUUCCCUUGAGGUUCUUUGCAUUUCCUAUGCUCUUUCAACAUAGUAUUUUAUGCUCAAACUUCCCUACUCUGACAAGCAACUGGGCAGUUUGAGCAAUGAUUAAAUCUGAAUCAAAGUGUUGUGAUUCUCAGAUUUACAGAGAGAGCUUCAUGCCAUCUUCUCCUUAGAUACACAAAAAUACUAGUUUCAAUUCCUUUACAACUUUCAUCAGUCAAGCAGACAAACACUGUAUAAAGCAAGCACUGUUCUGGUUCCUGUGCGUUCAUGAUGAGAAGACCCCUUACUUCAAAUAAAUAAUUGAGGACAAAUAUAUAAAUAGUACAUACAAAUCAAAACUAUUAUGGAUGAAGUAGAAAUGGGACCCCCAGAGUCAUUAUACUCACUUUAAGUUCACCCCACCUGAUUCUACCAGAGUGGUCUAAGAUGAAUCUCCCUGGAACCCACGGGGCUCCUCACAACAUUAUUUCAAAGAAACAAAUUAAAUAAAUCCUCUUCAUACUAGAGAAAAUGAACAAAGUCCACAAAUGGGAAAGGAACUAUCAAAAGCUACACGGCCACCAUCCUCGGGUCCUCUGCAAUUUGAAAUGAAGAUAAUUAUAUAUACAUGAAACUUCUAAAGACUGGCAGCAUGCCAUCUUUCUCUUUUGAACAUCCAUAUCACUUAUCACAUUGUUUUGGCCAUAAGUGGACAGGAACAAUUAAUUACAUUUGGAAUGAUAAUAAGUGAGAACAAAUAGAUGGUAAAACUAGAGAACUGAUUACAACACCAAUAGCUGCAGAGAAGGAAGACAAGUAGAUCUGAAAGGGAGAAGUAAACUUUAGGGAAGAUUUCAUUUAUUUUGUUAGAAUUUAUUAAGAAGCCAUUAGUGCUAGGAACUGGAAAGGAAUCUAGUCUUCAGAAAGGCUAGAUAAUUUAAUAAAAACACUUAAUAAUAAUGCCUAUUAUAUUUGUGGAGCCUAAUAUGUUCUAGCAACUGUGCUGGCACUUUAUAGGCUAAGAAAUUUAAUUCUCAUCAUACCAAUACAAGCAGUAUGGUCAACUUCAUUUGUACAGAUUAAGAAUUUGAGAUUGAAAGGAAUAAAGUGACUUACCUAAGACUAAAAAUUUAAGAAGUAAAAGACACAGUGCUGUAAGCCUGAUCACCUUCCAUCACACCUAGGAUUUUCAUCAUAUGAUGGAUUUAAAGUUAAUGAAAACAAGCCAACGGUGAAUUCUUAUCCUAGUUCAGCCACACAUUUUAGGGUGAAAUAGGACACAUCAUGGAACUGUGUUGAACACUGAAAUGGGAUUCCUGAGCUUCUCCUGAGCCACUGCCUCUCCAAGCACUAGCCAAGACAAAAACAUUCACCUGGUUACUUUCUUCCCAAUGACUCCUUGCUGGCUAUCAUAGAGGAGGAAAGAAGAGGGGCUAGGGAUAUGGAUCAUCAUUCCUGGGACAAACUUGGCAGGCUCACCUGUGACCCAGCUUCAUAGGUGACUCAGCACCAAUGCUCACUCAAAAAGCAGGGCAGCAGAGCUGGGACUUACUGCAUUUGACAAAGGAAUGAUCAGUGAAUAGACACUGGCUAGUGGAAGGGGAUGGAGAGUUUCCUGUGUAUACUGAUGAGUAAAGGACAUGGUGAGAAGUGGACAGAUCCAGAUUAUAUUGUGGAGGUGCAACUCACCAGGCCUUAUGAAUGCAGUGGUUUUCCAAGGAUGGUUGCUCCAGCAGCACCAGUAGCAUUGCCUACGAUCUUGUUAGAAAUGUGAAUUCUCAGGCCCCACCCCAGAGUUGCUGAACCAGAGACCCUGGAUUGGGGCCCAGCAAUCUAUAAUUUAAAGGCCCUCCAGGUGUAACCCGAAUCAUGAUCAAGUUUGAUCCUACUGUGCUAAUGAUUGGUCUGGAGUUGAGAAUUCUGUUGGGCCUGUUGGAGAUACCAGUGUCACAUGCAGUGUGCUAGGUUAACUGGGCAGUGGAAUAUGUGAGUCUGGAACUAGGGAUAGAUCAGAUCUGUUGACUUUCUUUGGAGGAUCAUUCAGAUCAGGUGCUAUUCAUCCAAAGUGGCAAAACUCCACAGACUAGCAUAGUCCUGUGUUGGCCCAGGAUAAGUGCUCUGUAAAUGCCACUGAGUCAGCCUAUCCUGCUGCCUCCAGGAAUGUGAGAUCAUUGCUUAAGGAACAAGUGUUCUUUCGGUUAAUAUUUAUUUGCUCAUCUGAGAAAACCGCUGCUGUGGGAAAACAGGUUUCAUAAUGUAGUCCACUUGAAGAUUUUAUACAGCUCAAUACCAAUGCUAACUCCUUUCCAUGCUUUCUGCUGAGGUCAGCAUUGUUUGGCUUAACUUACCCAUCCCCAAGUCCCAGAGCUCCCAGCUGCCCUGUGCCUUGCUCCUGACUAGGCACAGCCCCAGUGUCACUUCUGAAGCCCACUCUCAGAGGAGCCUGCUGAGCCUGCCAGAGUAUUGGCUGAGGAGGAAAAAGGAGGACAGAAGGGAGGAAAGGACAAAGUGAGGAAGGAAGGGUGGAAAGGACUGAGACACAUGACAAAACUGUAAAGUAAGACGGGUUAAUGUGAGUGCUAGAAUAAAUAUUCCCAUAGAGCAUGCAGGGCUGGGGGAGCCUGAUUCAUUUGCUCUGGGGACUUUGAGAAAGUUUGAGAGAAGUGGCAUUUCCUCUGGGAAUUUCUUGAAAUGUGAGUAGGAUUUACAGAAAUAUGAGUAGGAUUUACAGAUUCAGAAUGUGGAAUGAGGCAUCUACACAGGAAGAACCCCAGAGGAAUGGAAGUUCAUGAAUUAGGAACUUCUCCAUGGUUAAAGGACAGAGUGAAGGAAAGGAUUAGUAUCAGGCUUCCUCUGAUAUCCCCUUCAUGGAAGUUCAACAGAAGUCCAGUUUCUCCAUUAGGUCUCUUUUGACUUCCAGGGUGAAUCAUCUUUGUUAAUGCUGAAGGAGAGAUGCAACUUCUUCAGAGGAAGAAGGAUGUACAGAUCUCACUAGGCAUUCCCAGGGUUAAAUCUCAUGGUCGUAUUUCUUAAAGAGACUCACUUAACAUCCUCCACCCAUUUUCACUGAAAACCACGCCACAGAAACACGGAGACAACCCAACCUAAGUCACCCUCAGAGAGUGGAAGUCAAAGUAGGGACUAAGGCAGUGCAGGGAAGACAAAAGAAAGCAUAAUGCUGGCCCACACAGUCAGCCCACCAGGCACAGUUAUGUUCCCAGCAAGGACAACAUCAUCGCCUUGACAAAGCUGCUCCAGGAGUAACUGGGAUGGUGGACUUUCGCAACUCCCAAUUUGCCACCCACCCUUCUCCUCUAGCUUCUCAGAGCGGCUGUCAUCAUCUCAGUGUGGUGACUCCAUCCUCAAUCCCAUAGCUCCCAUCCCCCAACUGAGGCGGGAUAGAAAGAAAGUGGCAACUAAGUAAAAUGAAAACCAGUGCGCGCCAUCCUCCCAGUCCCCGCCAUCCUCCCAGUCCCCACCCGCUAGGAUUCCUCUGCACCCUCAGUCCUCUGGCCACCAGCAGCCGCCACUAACUUUGACGCGGUAGACUCAGCUAUCAAAGGCUUUCCUGAGCUCCAGGUCCUGAAGUUAAACCGGAGACCGGGGAAAGAAAAUCUCAACAAAGCAGCAAGACGCCAAAGACACCUUAAAGUCAACAAGUACUUUUAAAUAAUGCGUCUGUAAAUGCCAACCCUGACCCCCA
Molecule: long non-coding RNA, 4028 nt
Organism: Marmota monax (woodchuck)
Lineage: Eukaryota; Metazoa; Chordata; Mammalia; Rodentia; Sciuridae
Exons: 5
Source: RefSeq, a predicted model, not a curated record